Molecule: non-coding RNA, 387 nt
Organism: Thunnus maccoyii (southern bluefin tuna)
Lineage: Eukaryota; Metazoa; Chordata; Actinopteri; Scombriformes; Scombridae
Source: the annotation of a RefSeq genome assembly
UGGUACACGUUCGGUGGAGGAACCAGACUGGAUGUUGGAAGUGAUGUCCGUCCCACCCUGACGGUGCUGCCCCCCUCCAGCGAGGAGCUGGAGCACGGGAAGGCCACGCUCAUGUGUCUGGCCAACAAGGGCUUCCCCUCAGACUGGAGUCUGGCCUGGAAGGUGGACGGCAGCAGCAGCAGCAGCUGCAGCUGGGAGGAGAGCAGGAGCCCCGCGGUGCUGCAGAAGGACGGCCGCUACAGCUGGAGCAGCACCCUGAGGCUCCCUGCAGACCAGUGGAGGAAGGUGGGCUCUGUGACCUGUGAGGCCACCCAGGGCUCCCAGACUCCAGUCUCAGAGACACUGAGGAGAGACCAGUGUUCCCAGUCCUGACCUGACUCACUGGGA